GUGGCUUUCGGAGCUAACGCGUUAAGUAGACCGCCUGGGGGAGUACGGUCGCAAGAUUAAAACUCAAAUGAAUUGACGGGGGCCCGCACAAGCGGUGGAGCAUGUGGUUUAAUUCGAUGCAACGCGAAGAACCUUACCUACUCUUGACAUCCAGAGAACUUUCCAGAGAUGGAUUGGUGCCUUCGGGAACUCUGAGACAGGUGCUGCAUGGCUGUCGUCAGCUCGUGUUGUGAAAUGUUGGGUUAAGUCCCGCAACGAGCGCAACCCUUAUCCUUGUUUGCCAGCGAGUAAUGUCGGGAACUCCAGGGAGACUGCCGGUGAUAAACCGGAGGAAGGUGGGGACGACGUCAAGUCAUCAUGGCCCUUACGAGUAGGGCUACACACGUGCUACAAUGGCGCAUACAGAGGGCGGCCAACUCGCGAGAGUGAGCGAAUCCCAAAAAGUGCGUCGUAGUCCGGAUUGGAGUCUGCAACUCGACUCCAUGAAGUCGGAAUCGCUAGUAAUCGUAGAUCAGAAUGCUACGGUGAAUACGUUCCCGGGCCUUGUACACACCGCCCGUCACACCAUGGGAGUGGGCUGCAAAAGAAGUGGGUAGUUUAACCUUCGGGAGGACGCU
Molecule: ribosomal RNA, 617 nt
Filed under: bacterium b2cb12
Lineage: Bacteria
Description: bacterial SSU rRNA
Rfam family: Bacterial small subunit ribosomal RNA
Source: RNAcentral